This 497-nucleotide ribosomal RNA is filed under the name uncultured bacterium. RNAcentral describes it as "partial 16S ribosomal RNA". It matches the Rfam family "Bacterial small subunit ribosomal RNA", at positions 28 to 507 of the family's 1533-position model. The record is from RNAcentral.
GAUGAACGCUGGCGGCGUGCCUAAUACAUGCAAGUCGAGCGAACAGACGAGGAGCUUGCUCCUCUGACGUUAGCGGCGGACGGGUGAGUAACACGUGGAUAACCUACCUAUAAGACUGGGAUAACUUCGGGAAACCGGAGCUAAUACCGGAUAAUAUAUUGAACCGCAUGGUUCAAUAGUGAAAGACGGUUUUGCUGUCACUUAUAGAUGGAUCCGCGCCGCAUUAGCUAGUUGGUAAGGUAACGGCUUACCAAGGCAACGAUGCGUAGCCGACCUGAGAGGGGUGAUCGCCACCAUGGGACCGGAGCACCGUCCCAGCCCCCUACGGGAGGCAGCGGUGGGAAACCUCCCGCAAUGGGCGAAAGCUUACCGGGGCAAGGCGGCGUAAGUGAUAAGGGCCUUCGAUUCGAAAACUCCGUUAAUUAGGAAAGAAAAAUGUGUAAGUAACUAUGCACGUCUUGACGGUACCUAAUCAGAAAGCCACGGCUAACUACGUG